UGAACGCUAGCGGGAGGCUUAAUACAUGCAAGUCGAGGGGCAGCUAUGUUUUCGGAUAUAGGCGACCGGCGAACGGGUGAGUAACGCGUACGCAAUCUGGCUACAGAUGGGGGAUAGCCCUGGGAAACUGGGAUUAAUACCGCAUAAAAUAAUGAUAUGGCAUCAUAUAAUUAUUAAAGGAGAGAUCCGUCUGUAGAUGAGCGUGCGUUCUAUUAGUUAGUUGGUGAGGUAACGGCUCACCAAGGCGAUGAUAGAUAGGGGGCGUGAGAGCGUGAUCCCCCACACGGGUACUGAGACACGGACCCGACUCCUACGGGAGGCAGCAGUAAGGAAUAUUGGACAAUGGGGGCAACCCUGAUCCAGCCAUCCCGCGUGCAGGAAGACAGCUCUAUGGGUUGUAAACUGCUUUUGUAUGGGAAGAAUAGUUAAUUUUCAAAUUGAUUUGACGGUACCAUAAGAAUAAGCACCGGCUAACUCC
RNAcentral lists this ribosomal RNA (478 nucleotides) under uncultured bacterium. RNAcentral's name for it is "bacterial SSU rRNA". It matches the Rfam family "Bacterial small subunit ribosomal RNA", at positions 30 to 504 of the family's 1533-position model. The record is from RNAcentral.